GCACUCGUAGCUCAGCUGGAUAGAGCGCUGCCCUCCGAAGGCAGAGGUCACAAGUUCGAAUCUUGUCGAGUGCACCA
Molecule: transfer RNA, 77 nt
Filed under: Alphaproteobacteria bacterium
Lineage: Bacteria; Pseudomonadati; Pseudomonadota; Alphaproteobacteria
Description: tRNA-Arg
Rfam family: tRNA
About the family: Transfer RNA (tRNA) molecules are approximately 80 nucleotides in length.
Source: RNAcentral